GACAAAUGGAGAGGAAAGAAUACCAGUGGAGAACAAGAAGAAACGAAAAGGAGAGGAGAACAGCCGGCCACCAUGCUUCAGUUAUCAUCUUCGUUCCUGCACUGAGCUUGCACUUUUCAAAUUC
Long non-coding RNA from Populus euphratica (Euphrates poplar), 124 nucleotides. RefSeq lists it as uncharacterized. The transcript is spliced from 3 exons. NCBI's taxonomy places the organism in Eukaryota, Viridiplantae, Streptophyta, Magnoliopsida, Malpighiales, Salicaceae. The record is from RefSeq and is a predicted model, not a curated record.